GACGAACGCUGGCGGCGUGCCUAAUACAUGCAAGUUGAGCGAUGAAGAUUGGUGCUUGCACCAAUUUGAAGAGCAGCGAACGGGUGAGUAACGCGUGGGGAAUCUGCCUUUGAGCGGGGGACAACAUUUGGAAACGAAUGCUAAUACCGCAUAACAACUUUAAACAUAAGUUUUAAGUUUGAAAGAUGCAAUUGCAUCACUCAAAGAUGAUCCCGCGUUGUAUUAGCUAGUUGGUGAGGUAAAGGCUCACCAAGGCGAUGAUACAUAGCCGACCUGAUAGGGGGAUCGGCCACAUUGGGAAGGAGACACGGCCCAAACUCCUACGGGAGGCAGCAGGAGGGAAUCUUCGGCAAUGGACGAAAGUCUGACCGAGAAACGCCGCGGGAGGGAAGAAGGUUUUCGGAUCGUAAAACUCGGUUGGUAGGGAAGAAAGUUGGUGAGAGUGGAAAGCUCAUCAAGUGACGGUAACUACCCAGAAAGGGACGGCUAACUACGUG
This 497-nucleotide ribosomal RNA is filed under the name uncultured bacterium. Its description in RNAcentral is "partial 16S ribosomal RNA". It matches the Rfam family "Bacterial small subunit ribosomal RNA", at positions 28 to 507 of the family's 1533-position model. The record is from RNAcentral.